This 799-nucleotide ribosomal RNA is filed under the name uncultured Glomeromycotina. RNAcentral's name for it is "SSU rRNA". It matches the Rfam family "Eukaryotic small subunit ribosomal RNA", at positions 314 to 1114 of the family's 1831-position model. The record is from RNAcentral. Lineage: Eukaryota; Fungi; Glomeromycota.
AUCAACUUUCGAUGGUAGGAUAGAGGCCUACCAUGGUGGUAACGGGUAACGGGGUGUUAGGGCACGACACCGGAGAGGGAGCCUGAGAAACGGCUACCACAUCCAAGGAUGGCAGCAGGCGCGCAAAUUACCCAAUCCCGACACGGGGAGGUAGUGACAAUAAAUAACAAUACGGGGCUCUUUAGGGUCUCGUAAUUGGAAUGAGUACAAUUUAAAUCUCUUAACGAGGAACAAUUGGAGGGCAAGUCUGGUGCCAGCAGCCGCGGUAAUUCCAGCUCCAAUAGCGUAUAUUAAAGUUGUUGCAGUUAAAAAGCUCGUAGUUGAAUUUCGGGAUCAGCAGGUUGGUCGUGCCUCUGGUAUGCACUGGUUUCGCUGAUUCCUCCUUUCUGAAGAACUGUAAUGUCAUUAAUUUGGUGUUGCAGGGAAACAGGACUGUUACUUUGAAAAAAUUAGAGUGUUUAAAGCAGGCUAACGCUUGAAUACAUUAGCAUGGAAUAAUGAAAUAGGACGUUUGAUCCUAUUUUGUUGGUUUCUAGGAUUGACGUAAUGAUUAAUAGGGAUAGUUGGGGGCAUUAGUAUUCAAUUGUCAGAGGUGAAAUUCUUGGAUUUAUUGAAGACUAACUACUGCGAAAGCAUUUGCCAAGGAUGUUUUCAUUAAUCAAGAACGAAAGUUAGGGGAUCGAAGACGAUCAGAUACCGUCGUAGUCUUAACCAUAAACUAUGCCGACUAGGGAUCGGAUGAUGUUAAUUUUUUAAUGACUCAUUCGGCGCCUUACGGGAAACCAAAGUGUUUGGGUUC